RNAcentral lists this ribosomal RNA (253 nucleotides) under uncultured bacterium. Its description in RNAcentral is "partial 16S ribosomal RNA". It matches the Rfam family "Bacterial small subunit ribosomal RNA", at positions 524 to 776 of the family's 1533-position model. The record is from RNAcentral.
UACGAAGGGGUCUAGCGUUGCUCGGAAUCACUGGGCGUAAAGCGCACGUAGGCGGAUCUUUAAGUCAGGGGUGAAAUCCUGGAGCUCAACUCCAGAACUGCCUUUGAUACUGAGGAUCUUGAGUCCGGGAGAGGUGAGUGGAACUCCGAGUGUAGAGGUGAAAUUCGUAGAUAUUCGGAAGAACACCAGUGGCGAAGGCGGCUCACUGGCCCGGUACUGACGCUGAGGUGCGAAAGCGUGGGGAGCAAACAGG